Molecule: ribosomal RNA, 497 nt
Filed under: uncultured bacterium
Lineage: Bacteria
Description: partial 16S ribosomal RNA
Rfam family: Bacterial small subunit ribosomal RNA
Source: RNAcentral
GAUGAACGCUGGCGGCGUGCCUAAUACAUGCGAGUCGAGCGAACAGACGAGGAGCUUGCGCCUCUGACGUUAGCGGCGGACGUGUGAGUAACACGUGUAUCACCUACUUAUAUGUCUGGGAUAAUUUCGGAAAACCGGAUCUUAUACCGUAUAAUAUAUUGCACCGCAUGGUUCAAUAGAGAAUGACGGCUUUGCUGUCUCUUAUAGAUGCUUCCGCGCCGCAUUAGCUAGUUGGUAAGGUAACGGCUUAUCAAGGCGACGAUGCGUAGCCGACCUGAGAGGGUGGUAGGCCACACUGGAACUGAGACACGGUCCAGACUCCUGCGGGAGGCAGCAGUAGGGAAUGUUACGCAAUGGGCGAAAGCCUGACGGAGCAAGGCCGCGUGAGUGAUGAAGGUCUUCGGAUCGUAAAGCUCUGUUAUUAGGGAAGAACAAAUGUGUAAGUAAAUAUGCCCGUCUUGACGGUACCUAAUAAAGAAGCAACGGCUAACUACGUG